AUAAAGUAGGCGAACGGCUGAGUAACACGUGGGCAACCUGCCCUUUGCACUGGGAUAGCCUCGGGAAACCGAGGUUAAUACCGGAUACUCCAUAUUUGUCGCAUGGCGAAUAUGGGAAAGCUCCGGCGGCAAAGGAUGGGCCCGCGGCCUGUUAGCUAGUUGGUGGGGUAGUGGCCUACCAAGGCAAUGAUGGGUAGCCGGGUUGAGAGACCGACCGGCCAGAUUGGGACUGAGACACGGCCCAGACUCCUACGGGAGGCAGCAGGA
RNAcentral lists this ribosomal RNA (267 nucleotides) under uncultured Atopobium sp. RNAcentral's name for it is "partial 16S ribosomal RNA". It matches the Rfam family "Bacterial small subunit ribosomal RNA", at positions 89 to 354 of the family's 1533-position model. Lineage: Bacteria; Bacillati; Actinomycetota; Coriobacteriia; Coriobacteriales; Atopobiaceae. The record is from RNAcentral.